GACGAACGCUGGCGGCGUGCUUAACACAUGCAAGUCGAACGGAAAGGCCCUGCUUUUGUGGUGUGCUCGAUUGGCGAACGGGUGAGUAACACGUGAGUAACCUGCCCUUGACUUUGGGAUAACUUCAGGAAACUGGGGCUAAUACCGGAUAGAAGCUCCUGCUGCAUGGUGGGGGUUGGAAAGUUUCGGCGGUUGGGGAUGGACUCGCGGCUUAUCAGCUUGUUGGUGGGGUAGUGGCUUACCAAGGCUUUGACGGGUAGCCGGCCUGAGAGGGUGACCGGCCACAUUGGGACUGAGAUACGGACCAGAAUCCUACGGGAGGCAGCAGUGGAGAGUAUUGCACAAUGGGCGGAAGCCUGAUGCAGCAACGCUCCGUGCGGGAUGACGGCCUUCGGGUUGUAAACCGAUUUCGACUGUGACGAAGCGUGAGUGACGGUAAUGGGUAAAGAAGCACCGGCUAACUACGUG
This 468-nucleotide ribosomal RNA is filed under the name uncultured bacterium. RNAcentral's name for it is "partial 16S ribosomal RNA". It matches the Rfam family "Bacterial small subunit ribosomal RNA", at positions 28 to 507 of the family's 1533-position model. The record is from RNAcentral.